UUCUUCUCACUUCUUAACAUUCUUUAUGUAUCUCUAGCACUUGUGAACAAUCAAAUUCAUUGUAUUAUAACAUAUUCUAACCCAAAAUAACUUUAUACAAGCCAUUCACUGCCUCAAAGCAAUGGUUUUGGGUUCUUAUCCCAUUUGUGACCAAAUAUCAACAACUCUUUGUUCUCACUUUUAAACAUUCUUCAUGCAUCUCUAGCACUUGUAAUCAAUCAAACUCAUUGUAUUAUAACAUAUUCAAACCCAAAAUAACUUUAUACAAGCCAUUCACUGCCUCAAAGCAAUGGUUUUGGGUUCUUAUCCCAUUUGUGAC
RNAcentral lists this long non-coding RNA (319 nucleotides) under Capsella rubella. RNAcentral's name for it is "long non-coding RNA (CRUB_LNC000284)". Lineage: Eukaryota; Viridiplantae; Streptophyta; Magnoliopsida; Brassicales; Brassicaceae. The record is from RNAcentral.